CUGGUUGGUUGUGGCUGGAGAAAGCAAUAAAUCCUCAUAGUCUUCCGCAGCACCUAAUCAAACUCUAGCAUACUCCAGGCAUAGAAGAAAGAAAUAUCCCAUCAGACACACGUGUACGGCUCCAGGGUCCCAAGUUGCCCGCCAAAGUCAAUUUCUAUCUUUAAAAAAAUCGAACCGGAUGAACCGGACCGUUUUAUCCACGUAAAUAUCUGCUCUCCGUUAGUGGGGUAGAAAAUUUUCCUUCUCGUCGUCUCUCCUUUCCUUCCUCAAUCGAUCGUCAAAACCUUAUCAACAUGGGAACAAUGCUCAAACCCAUUACAGCUGCUAUUUUCCUUUGCCUCUUUUUGUUGCCUUUGGUAUUUGCUGCACCU
This 371-nucleotide unclassified non-coding RNA is filed under the name Hevea brasiliensis (rubber tree). Lineage: Eukaryota; Viridiplantae; Streptophyta; Magnoliopsida; Malpighiales; Euphorbiaceae. The record is from RNAcentral.